Molecule: RNA transcript, 1131 nt
Organism: Brachypodium distachyon (stiff brome)
Lineage: Eukaryota; Viridiplantae; Streptophyta; Magnoliopsida; Poales; Poaceae
Exons: 3
Source: RefSeq, a predicted model, not a curated record
CGCCCAGUACUGUUCCCUUCCCAAUCCUGUUCCCCUUUGGACUCGUCUCUGACUCUCUGUUUCCUCGUGCUCUGCUCCAGCUCCAACUCUCAUGGCGGCACAAAUCCGAACUCCGGUUCCACUUCCACCCCUGCGCCCUAGCUCACUCCCGAGGCUCAGAGCUCUAGAGCUUACGGCCCCGUCCGGCAUCCGCUCCCGCCGGUUUCAGGUCGCCUCUGCGGUCUCCGGAGGCGACAACAGCGGCGGGGGGCCACCGGCGGAGAAGGGGGAUGGGAAGCCGCGCGGGGUUCCCUCCUUGCCGGCGCUGUCGGAGAUCCGUUGGGGGGAGCUGCUCGUGCCGGCCCCCGAUAACGCUGCGGCCGUGGCGCUGACGGGCGCGCUGGUCUGGGCCGGCGCGUCGCUGCUGCUGCAGCUCGUGCUCAUCUCCGCCUCCAUCUUCGCCGCCGCCGUCAAGUACUCCUUCGUCGCCGCGCUCCUGCUCUUCGUACUCAUCGCGCUCCUAUAACCUUCAGCUUGGACUAGCCUUGAAGUUAGAGUGGUGGCACUAAAAGUCUUUGACUUUGUGCUCCUCUCAGAUCAAACUACUGAUGCAAUGAAGUGGUCUGCCUUUUAUAUAGCAAUCCAAGUAUCCAACUUCAAAGGUUGAGUAUGACCUCUGGCUAGUGUUGGUUUCAUUGCUGCAGGCCACUUAAAAGCACUUUGCAGGUCAUUUGUACAUCUUUAGUCUGCUCUUGUAGAUUCUCAUAAAUAUUGUAAAGUAUCAUGCUUCUUGCUUAUUUGCUCUGCAGUUAAUUUAACUUAUCUGGUCAGAUUCUGAUAUAAGGACUUCUGCAUUGUUUUGCCCACUAAUAAUGGGUCAUCUUAAGCAUAUAAAGUUAUAUGUCAGCAGGUUUCAUCGUUAAUUUAUUCUGCAGUUUCCAGUGUAGGAUUGACUCUUGGUCCUAUUUGUGGGUUCCAACAAAUUGAUGUACUUCUGGACUAAUAAUCUAAGUCACAGUCUGAGAGUAUUUGUAGAAAUCUAGGUUUCAAGUACAUCUCCUGUGUAUUAUACCACUUUUGGGACCUGUGUGCUGUGUCUAGAUCAGGCGUUGUAAAACAAUUGUGAAUGUUUGGAUCUAGGAAUCAUUUUUA